GUGAAUCAUCGAAUUUUUGAACGCAAAUUGCGCUCUCUGGUAUUCCGGAGAGUAUGCCUGUUUGAGAGUCAGUUUAAAUAAAAAUCUGCGUUGUUGCUGCCUUUCGUGGUGACGCACCGGAGUUGGGUUUUCUUUCCUUCGGGUAAGUGAGCUAAAAUUUUGCAUGAUUUUUUCGUACGUAUUUAAAUGAUUUUACGUACGGUUUCGAUAUCGAAUACUAGGUGCGUGCAU
RNAcentral lists this unclassified non-coding RNA (231 nucleotides) under Glomeraceae sp. RNAcentral's name for it is "partial contains 5.8S ribosomal RNA and internal transcribed spacer 2". The stretch from base 1 to 71 matches the Rfam family "5.8S ribosomal RNA", at positions 84 to 154 of the family's 154-position model. Lineage: Eukaryota; Fungi; Glomeromycota; Glomeromycetes; Glomerales; Glomeraceae. The record is from RNAcentral.